RNAcentral lists this ribosomal RNA (463 nucleotides) under uncultured bacterium. Its description in RNAcentral is "partial 16S ribosomal RNA". It matches the Rfam family "Bacterial small subunit ribosomal RNA", at positions 28 to 507 of the family's 1533-position model. The record is from RNAcentral.
GAUGAACGCUGACAGAAUGCUUAACACAUGCAAGUCGAUGGGGAAGUCGUUCUUUCACCAUGGCAACCGUGGCGGACGGGUGAGUAACGCGUAAGGGACUUACCUGCAGGACUGGGAUAACAGGGGGAAACUCCUGACAAGACCGGAUAAUGUCAUGGAGCUGCAUGGCUGUGUGAUGAAAGGGGACGCCUGCGGAGAGCCUUGCGUCCUAUUAGCUAGUUGGUGAGGUAAUGGCUCAACACGGCGAAGAUAGGUAGCCGGCCUGAGGGGGUGGACGGCCACAAGGGGACUGAGAUACGGCACUUACUCAUACGAGAGACAGCAGUGGAGAAUAUUGGACAAUGGGGGCGACCGUGAUCGAGCAGUUCUGUGUGGAAGAAGAAGGUUUUGGGAGUGUAAAGUGCUUUCAGCAGGGAAGGAGUAAGUGACGGUACCUGCAGAAGAAGCGACGGCUAAAUACGUG